Small nuclear RNA from Oryctolagus cuniculus (rabbit), 100 nucleotides. NCBI's taxonomy places the organism in Eukaryota, Metazoa, Chordata, Mammalia, Lagomorpha, Leporidae. The record is from Ensembl.
GUGUUUCAGAGGUAUAUUCACUAAAAUUGGAACAACGCAGAGAUUAGCAUGGUCCCUGCACAAGGAUGGUACACCAAAAUUAAAUGAAUAAAAUAAAAAA